GACGAACGCUGGCGGCGUGCUUAACACAUGCAAGUCGAGCGGUAAGGCUCCUUCGGGAGUACACGAGCGGCGAACGGGUGAGUAACACGUGAGCAAUCUGCCCCUUACAUAGGAAUAACCAUUGGAAACGAUGGCUAAUACCAAAUACGACCUCGGAAGGCAUCUUCUGAGGUGGAAAGCUCCGGUGGUAAGGGAUGAGCUCGCGGCCUAUCAGCUAGUUGGCGGGGUAAAGGCCCACCAAGGCAAUGACGGGUAGCCGGCCUGAGAGGGUGACCGGCCACACUGGGACUGAGACACGGCCCAGACUCCUACGGGAGGCAGCAGUGGGGAAUAUUGGACAAUGGGCGAAAGCCUGAUCCAGCAACGCCGCGUGAGGGAUGACGGCCUUCGGGUUGUAAACCUCUUUCAGCGGGGACGAAGCGAAAGUGACGGUACCCGCAGAAGAAGGACCGGCCAACUACGUGCCAGCAGCCGCGGUAAUACGUAGGGUCCGAGCGUUGUCCGGAAUUAUUGGGCGUAAAGGGCUCGUAGGCGGUUUGUCACGUCGGGAGUGAAAACUCAGGGCUCAACCCUGAGCGUGCUUCCGAUACGGGCAGACUAGAGGUAUUCAGGGGAGAACGGAAUUCCUGGUGUAGCGGUGGAAUGCGCAGAUAUCAGGAGGAACACCGGUGGCGAAGGCGGUUCUCUGGGAAUUACCUGACGCUGAGGAGCGAAAGCAUGGGGAGCGAACAGGAUUAGAUACCCUGGUAGUCCAUGCCGUAAACGUUGGGCGCUAGGUGUGGGACCCUUCCACGGGUUCCGUGCCGCAGCUAACGCAUUAAGCGCCCCGCCUGGGGAGUACGGCCGCAAGGCUAAAACUCAAAGGAAUUGACGGGGGCCCGCACAAGCGGCGGAGCAUGCUGAUUAAUUCGAUGCAACGCGAAGAACCUUACCUGGGUUUGACAUAUGCCGGAAACGUCUAGAGAUAGGCGCCCCGCAAGGUCGGUAUACAGGUGGUGCAUGGCUGUCGUCAGCUCGUGUCGUGAGAUGUUGGGUUAAGUCCCGCAACGAGCGCAACCCUCGUUCUAUGUUGCCAGCACGUAAUGGUGGGGACUCAUAGGAGACUGCCGGGGUCAACUCGGAGGAAGGUGGGGAUGACGUCAAGUCAUCAUGCCCCUUAUGUCCAGGGCUUCAAGCAUGCUACAAUGGCCGGUACAAAGGGCUGCGAAACCGCAAGGUGGAGCGAAUCCCAAAAAGCCGGUCUCAGUUCGGAUUGGGGUCUGCAACUCGACCCCAUGAAGUCGGAGUCGCUAGUAAUCGCAGAUCAGCAACGCUGCGGUGAAUACGUUCCCGGGCCU
This 1337-nucleotide ribosomal RNA is filed under the name uncultured bacterium. RNAcentral's name for it is "bacterial SSU rRNA". It matches the Rfam family "Bacterial small subunit ribosomal RNA", at positions 28 to 1381 of the family's 1533-position model. The record is from RNAcentral.